This 430-nucleotide ribosomal RNA is filed under the name uncultured bacterium. RNAcentral describes it as "bacterial SSU rRNA". It matches the Rfam family "Bacterial small subunit ribosomal RNA", at positions 774 to 1198 of the family's 1533-position model. The record is from RNAcentral.
AGAGAAUAGAUACCCGGGUAGUUCACGCCCUAAACGAUGGAUACUCGACAUACGCGAUACACUGUGUGUGUCUGAGCGAAAGCAUUAAGUAUCCCACCUGGGAAGUACGACCGCAAGGUUGAAACUCAAAGGAAUUGGCGGGGUCGCACAAGCGGUGGAGCAUGUGGUUUAAUUUACGAUGAUACGCGAGGAACCUUACCUGGGCGUAGAAUGCUAGUUGACCGAGGGUGAAAGCUCUCUUUGUAGCAAUACACAACUAGUAAGGUGCUGCAUGGCUGUCGUCAGCUCGUGCCGUGAGGUGUUGGGUUAAAGUCCCGCAACGAGCGCAACCCCCACUCAGUAGUUGUCCAUCAGGUAACGCUGGGAACGUACUACUGAAACUGCCGUCGUAAGACGCGAGGAAGGAGGGGAUGAUGUCAAGUCAUCAUGG